UAAUAUUGCCAUGAGAACGAUAACCUUGUAAACUGGUCAGGAUAGAAAUAUAGCAGCCAUACCGAGAAGUGUUGUGUCUUGUGGUUUUUUAUAUAAA
This 97-nucleotide signal recognition particle RNA is filed under the name Metamycoplasma equirhinis. RNAcentral's name for it is "Mycoplasma equirhinis signal recognition particle sRNA small type". The stretch from base 6 to 90 matches the Rfam family "Bacterial small signal recognition particle RNA". Rfam says of the family: The signal recognition particle (SRP) is a universally conserved ribonucleoprotein involved in the co-translational targeting of proteins to membranes. The record is from RNAcentral. Lineage: Bacteria; Bacillati; Mycoplasmatota; Mycoplasmoidales; Metamycoplasmataceae.